CCUACGGGUGGCUGCAGUGGGGAAUAUUGCACAAUGGGCGCAGGCCUGAUGCAGCCAUGCCGCGUGUGUGAAGAAGGCCUUCGGGUUGUAAAGCACUUUCAGCGGGGAGGAAGGCGGUGAGGUUAAUAACCUCAUCGAUUGACGUUACCCGCAGAAGAAGCACCGGCUAACUCCGUGCCAGCAGCCGCGGUAAUACGGAGGGUGCAAGCGUUAAUCGGAAUUACUGGGCGUAAAGCGCACGCAGGCGGUCUGUCAAGUCGGAUGUGAAAUCCCCGGGCUCAACCUGGGAACUGCAUUCGAAACUGGCAGGCUAGAGUCUUGUAGAGGGGGGUAGAAUUCCAGGUGUAGCGGUGAAAUGCGUAGAGAUCUGGAGGAAUACCGGUGGCGAAGGCGGCCCCCUGGACAAAGACUGACGCUCAGGUGCGAAAGCGUGGGGAGCAAACAGGAUUAGAUGCCCCAGUAGUC
RNAcentral lists this ribosomal RNA (465 nucleotides) under uncultured Klebsiella sp. RNAcentral describes it as "bacterial SSU rRNA". It matches the Rfam family "Bacterial small subunit ribosomal RNA", at positions 338 to 795 of the family's 1533-position model. Lineage: Bacteria; Pseudomonadati; Pseudomonadota; Gammaproteobacteria; Enterobacterales; Enterobacteriaceae. The record is from RNAcentral.